GCCCGGCUGGCUCAGUCGGUAGAUCAUGUGACUCUUAAUCUCAGGGUUGUGUGUUCGAGCCCCACAUUGGGCG
Non-coding RNA from Hemiscyllium ocellatum (epaulette shark), 73 nucleotides. NCBI's taxonomy places the organism in Eukaryota, Metazoa, Chordata, Chondrichthyes, Orectolobiformes, Hemiscylliidae. The record is from the annotation of a RefSeq genome assembly.